UAGGGAAUCUUCCACAAUGGACGAAAGUCUGAUGGAGCAACGCCGCGUGAGUGAAGAAGGGUUUCGGCUCGUAAAACUCUGUUGUUAAAGAAGAACAUAUUUGAGAGUAACUGUUCAGGUAUUGACGGUAUUUAACCAGAAAGCCACGGCUAACUACGUGCCAG
This 164-nucleotide ribosomal RNA is filed under the name uncultured bacterium. RNAcentral describes it as "partial 16S ribosomal RNA". It matches the Rfam family "Bacterial small subunit ribosomal RNA", at positions 355 to 511 of the family's 1533-position model. The record is from RNAcentral.